AAUAGAUAACGCCGUUGACUUUUUCUCACAUGUUAGACCAUUCGUCUUAUUUAAAAAAUUUAUGUAAUUAUAAUUUAUUUUGUUAUGAGUUCUUUUAUCACUCAUAGUACUUUAAGUGUGAUUUAUAUCUUAUAUAUUUGUAUAAAAUUUUUGAAUAAGACUAAUGGUCAAACAUGUGAGAAAAAGUUAACGGCGUCAUCUAUU
Non-coding RNA from Oryza glaberrima (African rice), 204 nucleotides. NCBI's taxonomy places the organism in Eukaryota, Viridiplantae, Streptophyta, Magnoliopsida, Poales, Poaceae. The record is from Rfam.